UUAGAAAUUGGUAAGUAUGAUGUCGUGGGAAUUACAGACACAUGGCUGCAAGACCAGGGCUGGGAACUGAAUAUUCAGGGAUAUACAUCCUAUCGAAAAGACAGACAGGUGGGCAGAGGGGGUGGUGUAGUUCUGUUGGUGAGGAUUGAAAUCCCUUGCGAGGGUAACAUAGAAUCAGGAGAUGUGGAGUCAGUAUGGAUUGAACUGAGGGAUUGUAAAGGUAAAAAGGCGCUAAUGGGAGUUAUCUACAGGCCCCCAAACAGUAGCCUGGACAUAGGGUGCAAGUUGAAUCAAGAAUUAAAAUUGGCAUGUAGCAAAGGUAAUGGUAUGG
Molecule: long non-coding RNA, 331 nt
Organism: Amblyraja radiata (thorny skate)
Lineage: Eukaryota; Metazoa; Chordata; Chondrichthyes; Rajiformes; Rajidae
Exons: 3
Source: RefSeq, a predicted model, not a curated record